GAAAAAUUAGUUUAAUUGGUAAAACUGAGUCUUGUGGCGACUUUAUUUAGAGUUCAAAUCUCUAAUUUUUCU
This 72-nucleotide transfer RNA is filed under the name Coprinellus micaceus. RNAcentral describes it as "tRNA-His". It matches the Rfam family "tRNA". Rfam says of the family: Transfer RNA (tRNA) molecules are approximately 80 nucleotides in length. Their secondary structure includes four short double-helical elements and three loops (D, anti-codon, and T loops). Lineage: Eukaryota; Fungi; Basidiomycota; Agaricomycetes; Agaricales; Psathyrellaceae. The record is from RNAcentral.